This 63-nucleotide small nucleolar RNA is filed under the name Sciurus carolinensis (gray squirrel). RNAcentral describes it as "Small nucleolar RNA Z39". It matches the Rfam family "Small nucleolar RNA Z39". Rfam says of the family: Z39 is a member of the C/D class of snoRNA which contain the C (UGAUGA) and D (CUGA) box motifs. Most of the members of the box C/D family function in directing site-specific 2'-O-methylation of substrate RNAs. RNAcentral also lists the same sequence under 1 other name. Lineage: Eukaryota; Metazoa; Chordata; Mammalia; Rodentia; Sciuridae. The record is from Rfam by way of RNAcentral.
UUGCAUAUGAUGAAGCAAAACAGUAUGAAAAAAGUCAUGAUAUUGUAAAAACUCUCUGAUGUA